RNAcentral lists this ribosomal RNA (487 nucleotides) under uncultured bacterium. RNAcentral's name for it is "partial 16S ribosomal RNA". It matches the Rfam family "Bacterial small subunit ribosomal RNA", at positions 27 to 507 of the family's 1533-position model. The record is from RNAcentral.
GGAUGAACGCUAGCGGCAGGCUUAACACAUGCAAGUCGAGGGGCAGCGCGGGAUAGCAAUAUCCUGGCGGCGACCGGCGGAAGGGUGCGUAACGCGUGAGCGACAUGCCCGUUGCCCGGGGACAACCGGUGGAAACGCCGACUAAUCCCCGAUGGGAUAUUGUGCCGCAUGGCACGAUAUUGAAAGUUACGGCGGCGACGGAUUGGCUCGCGUCCGAUUAGCUUGUUGGCGGGGUAACGGCCCACCAAGGCUGCGAUCGGUAGGGGUUCUGAGAGGAAGGCCCCCCACAAUGGGACUGAGACACGGCCCAUACUCCUACGGGAGGCAGCAGUGAGGAAUAUUGGUCAAUGGGCGGAAGCCUGAACCAGCCAUGCCGCGUGCGGGAAGGAGGCCCUAUGGGCUGUGAACCGCUUUUGCCUGGGGGCAAUAAGGGCGUCGCGCACGUCCGAUGAGAGUACCAGGCGAAUAAGCAUCGGCUAACUCCGUG